Molecule: ribosomal RNA, 253 nt
Filed under: uncultured bacterium
Lineage: Bacteria
Description: partial 16S ribosomal RNA
Rfam family: Bacterial small subunit ribosomal RNA
Source: RNAcentral
UACAGAGGGUGCAAGCGUUAAUCGGAAUUACUGGGCGUAAAGCGUGCGUAGUCGGUUAUUUAAGUCGGAUGUGAAAUCCCCGGGCUCAACCUGGGAAUUGCCUUUGAUACUGGGGAUCUUGAGUCCGGGAGAGGUGAGUGGAAUUGCGAGUGUAGAGGUGAAAUUCGUAGAUAUUCGCAAGAACACCAGUGGCGAAGGCGGCUCACUGGCCCGGUACUGACGCUGAGGUGCGAAAGCGUGGGGAGCAAACAGG